This 502-nucleotide ribosomal RNA is filed under the name uncultured bacterium. Its description in RNAcentral is "partial 16S ribosomal RNA". It matches the Rfam family "Bacterial small subunit ribosomal RNA", at positions 30 to 523 of the family's 1533-position model. The record is from RNAcentral.
AUUGAACGCUGGCGGCACGCUUAACACAUGCAAGUCGAGCGGUAGCAUGAGUAGUAGCAAUACUACUUGAUGACGAGCGGUGGACGGGUGAGUAACACGUAGGAACUUGCCCAAUAGAGGGGGACAACUAAGGGAAACUUUAGCUAAUACCGCAUAUACUCGAGAGAGGAAAGCUGCCGCAAGGUGGCGCUAUUGGAGAGGCCUGCGUCUGAUUAGCUAGUUGGUGAGGUAAAGGCUCACCAAGGCGAUGAUCAGUAACUGGUCUGAGAGGACGACUAGUCACACUGGGACUGAGACACGGCCCAGACUCCUACGGGAGGCAGCAGUGGGGAAUCUUGGACAAUGGGGGCAACCCUGAUCCAGCGAUGCCGCGUGAGUGAAGAAGGCCUUCGGGUCGUAAAGCUCUUUAGGUUGGGAAGAAGUUUGGUAUUUUAAGAGAUAACCAAUUUGACUGUACCGACAGAAUAAGCACCGGCAAACUCUGUGCCAGCAGCCGCCGUAA